GUCUGCACUUGUCGGGGAAGGGUGAGAACCUUCGAUUAAGGUUCGACUCGAGCGAAAGCAAGAGAACGUUGCCAACGGCAACGGCCCGUAGGGUGAGGAGUGAAGCGACGAAUAAUCCUUCCCCCACCACCA
Molecule: small RNA, 132 nt
Filed under: Salmonella enterica
Lineage: Bacteria; Pseudomonadati; Pseudomonadota; Gammaproteobacteria; Enterobacterales; Enterobacteriaceae
Also listed under: 4 other names
Description: RtT sRNA
Rfam family: RtT RNA
About the family: This family represents a bacterial cis-regulatory element known as RtT RNA. The exact function of RtT is unknown although it is thought that it may be involved in changing the cellular response in relation to amino acid starvation.
Source: RNAcentral